This 726-nucleotide ribosomal RNA is filed under the name Triticum aestivum (bread wheat). RNAcentral's name for it is "partial small subunit ribosomal RNA". The record is from RNAcentral. Lineage: Eukaryota; Viridiplantae; Streptophyta; Magnoliopsida; Poales; Poaceae.
AUGGACGCCAUGUCGUGCCUGCUGCCGCCGCCACCGGCGUCGUUCCUCUCGGCCUCCUGCUCGCUCGGCCCUGCCUACUACACCGACGCCGCCCUCGCGCGCGCGCUGAACUUCUCGUCCAUGCCCGAGUACGAGUACGACUACUCCCCCGCGGUCUCCUCCCCGUCCUCCGCCUCGGCGCCCUCCUCCUCCUCCCUCCUCGCGGACUUCCCGUACAGCGCGGGCGAUGGCAGCAGCUGGUUCGCCUCCACGGCCGCGCCGGCGACGGGUUCACUCGCCUGCGACUCCGUCCUCGUCGCGUCAGACGCGCCGCCGCGUCCGCCGUCCACCCCCGUGGGCGCCGCGGCGAACAAGAGGCGGGCGGGCCUGGGGCCCAACGCGGCGGGCGCGGGGCGCGCCGGGAAGCGGCGCGCGCGGGCGUCGAAGCGCGCGCCCACCACGUACAUCAGCACCGACCCCGCCAACUUCCGGCUCAUGGUGCAGCACGUGAUGGCCGUCCAGGCCGAGCCGGGCGCGCCCGAUGGAAGCGGCGCACUCCUGCCCGCGUCGUUCGACGCGUCUUCCGGCGCGGCGCUGCUGGACUGCCACCCGUUCGACGGCGCGCUGCUGAUGCCGGCCGACGUGGACGCCGCGGAGCUCCAUCGCCACCACCACCAGCAGCAGCAGCCGUGCUACCCGACGCUGGACUCGUGGAGCGUCAUGUACGAGAGCAGCCAGCUGCUCUAG